RNAcentral lists this ribosomal RNA (601 nucleotides) under uncultured fungus. RNAcentral describes it as "eukaryotic LSU rRNA". It matches the Rfam family "Eukaryotic large subunit ribosomal RNA", at positions 37 to 653 of the family's 3401-position model. Lineage: Eukaryota; Fungi. The record is from RNAcentral.
AGCAUAUCAAUAAGCGGAGGAAAAGAAACCAACAGGGAUUGCCUCAGUAACGGCGAGUGAAGCGGCAUCAGCUCAAAUUUGAAAUCUGGCUCUUUCAGGGUCCGAGUUGUAAUUUGUAGAGGGAGCUUUGGCGUUGGCUGUGGUCUAAGUUCCUUGGAACAGGACGUCACAGAGGGUGAGAAUCCCGUACGUGGCCGCCAGUCUUCGCCGUGUAAAGCCCCUUCGACGAGUCGAGUUGUUUGGGAAUGCAGCUCUAAAUGGGAGGUAAAUUUCUUCUAAAGCUAAAUAUUGGCCAGAGACCGAUAGCGCACAAGUAGAGUGAUCGAAAGAUGAAAAGCACUUUGGAAAGAGAGUCAAAAAGCACGUGAAAUUGUUGAAAGGGAAGCGCUUGCAGCCAGACCUGCCUGUAGUUGCUCAUCCGGGCUUUUGCCCGGUGCACUCUUCUAUAGGCAGGCCAGCAUCAGUCCGGGCGGUUGGAUAAAGGCCUGCUAAAUGUACCUCUCUUCGGGGAGAACUUAUAGGGUAGGUGGCAUACAACCAGCCUGGAUUGAGGUCCGCGCAUCUGCUAGGAUGCNGGCGUAAUGGCUGUAAGCGGCCCGUC